AGCACUUGUUUGUGGACAAAGACAAGUGCAGAAAAAAUCCUCUUUUUCAACCAAGAGGUCACUGUUUAGUGUGAGUUCUGAUACACAUAAGAAGGAACAUG
This is a small nucleolar RNA of Manis pentadactyla (Chinese pangolin), 101 nucleotides long. RefSeq annotates it as small nucleolar RNA SNORA40. Lineage: Eukaryota; Metazoa; Chordata; Mammalia; Pholidota; Manidae. The transcript has a single exon. The record is from RefSeq and is a predicted model, not a curated record.